CCUACGGGAGGCAGCAGUGAGGAAUAUUGGUCAAUGGGCGAGAGCCUGAACCAGCCAAGUCGCGUGAGGGAGUACUGCCCUAUGGGUUGUAAACCUCUUUUGUCGGGGAGCAAAAGCCGGACGUGUCCGGCUGUGAGAGUACCCGAAGAAAAAGCAUCGGCUAACUCCGUGCCAGCAGCCGCGGUAAUACGGAGGAUGCGAGCGUUAUCCGGAUUUAUUGGGUUUAAAGGGGGCGCAGGCGGAUUUUUAAGUCAGCGGUAAAAUCGUGGGGCUCAACCCCAUCCAGCCGUUGAAACUGGGGAUCUAGAGUGUGCGAGAGGUAUGCGGAAUGCGUGGUGUAGCGGUGAAAUGCAUAGAUAUCACGCAGAACCCCGAUUGCGAAGGCAGCAUACCGGUGCACAACUGACGCUCAGGCACGAAAGCGUGGGUAUCGAACAGGAUUAGAUACCCGGGUAGUC
RNAcentral lists this ribosomal RNA (458 nucleotides) under uncultured bacterium. Its description in RNAcentral is "partial 16S ribosomal RNA". It matches the Rfam family "Bacterial small subunit ribosomal RNA", at positions 338 to 795 of the family's 1533-position model. The record is from RNAcentral.